GCUAAACGCGAAGAACCUUACCAAGGCUUGACAUACACCAGAACACCCUGGAAACAGGGGACUCUUUGGACACUGGUGAACAGGUGGUGCAUGGUUGUCGUCAGCUCGUGUCGUGAGAUGUUGGGUUAAGUCCCGCAACGAGCGCAACCCUCGUUCUAUGUUGCCAGCACGUUAUGGUGGGAACUCAUGGGAUACUGCCGGGGUUAACUCGGAGGAAGGUGGGGAUGACGUCAAAUCAUCAUGCCCCUUAUGUCUUGGGCUUCACGCAUGCUACAAUGGCCGGUACAAAGGGCUGCAAUACCGUGAGGUGGAGCGAAUCCCAAAAAGCCGGUCCCAGUUCGGAUUGAGGUCUGCAACUCGACCUCAUGAAGUCGGAGUCGCUAGUAAUCGCAGAUCAGCAACGCUGCGGUGAAUA
RNAcentral lists this ribosomal RNA (415 nucleotides) under uncultured bacterium. Its description in RNAcentral is "bacterial SSU rRNA". It matches the Rfam family "Bacterial small subunit ribosomal RNA", at positions 954 to 1368 of the family's 1533-position model. The record is from RNAcentral.